CUGGCGGCGUGCUCAUACAUGCAAGUCGAACGAGAAACUGACUUCGGUCAGUGGAAAGUGGCGGACGGGUGAGUAAGAUGUAGAGAAUCUGCCCUAGAGAGUGGGACAACAGAGGGAAACUUCUGCUAAUACCGCAUAUGCGCGUAGCUGAGAUGCUAUUCGUGAAAACUCCGGUGCUCUGGGAUGAGUCUGCAUCUGAUUAGCUAGUUGGCGGUGUAAUGGACCACCAAGGCGACGAUCAGUAGCUGGUUUGAGAGGAUGAUCAGCCACAAUGGGACUGAGACACGGCCCAUACUCCUACGGGAGGCAGCAGUAGGGAAUUUUGCGCAAUGGGGGAAACCCUGAACCGCAGCAACGCCGCGUGAUUGAAGAAGCCCUUCGGGGUGUAAAGAUCUGUCAGUGGGGACGAAACUUGACGGUACCCACAGAGGAAGCAUCGGCUAACUCCGUGCCAGCCGCGGC
This 462-nucleotide ribosomal RNA is filed under the name uncultured bacterium. RNAcentral describes it as "bacterial SSU rRNA". It matches the Rfam family "Bacterial small subunit ribosomal RNA", at positions 36 to 518 of the family's 1533-position model. The record is from RNAcentral.